UGGGGAAUAUUGCGCAAUGGGCGAAAGCUUGACGCAGCAACGCCGCGUGAGUGAUGAAGGCCUUCGGGUCGUAAAGCUCUGUCGGGAGGAACGAAUAGCCGCUGUGAACAAUACCACAGUGGUGUGACGGUACCUCCAAAGGAAGCACCGGCUAACUCCGUGCCAGCAGCCGCGGUAAUACGGAGGGUGCAAGCGUUGUUCGGAAUUACUGGGCGUAAAGCGCGUGUAGGCGGACUCAGAAGUCGGGUGUGAAAGCCCCGGGCUUAACUCGGGAAGUGCGCUCGAAACCAUGGGUCUUGAGAACCGGAGGGGAUCGGGGAAUUCCCAGUGUAGAGGUGAAAUUCGUAGAUAUUGGGAGGAACACCGGUGGCGAAGGCGCCGAUCUGGACGGUUUCUGACGCUGAGACGCGAAAGCGUGGGUAGCAAACA
Molecule: ribosomal RNA, 429 nt
Filed under: uncultured prokaryote
Description: bacterial SSU rRNA
Rfam family: Bacterial small subunit ribosomal RNA
Source: RNAcentral